AACGUAGGAGGCGAGCGUUAUCCGGAUUUACUGGGUGUAAAGCGCGUGCAGGCGGUCUGGUAAGUGGUGCGUGAAAGCGCCCGGCUCAACCGGGCGAGGCCGUGCCAAACUACCAGGCUGGAGGCAGGUAGAGGCGUGUGGAAUUCCGGGUGUAGUGGUGAAAUGCGUAGAGAUCCGGAGGAACACCAGUGGCGAAGGCGACACGCUGGGCCUGACCUGACGCUCAGACGCGAAAGCAUGGGGAGCGAACGGG
RNAcentral lists this ribosomal RNA (253 nucleotides) under uncultured bacterium. RNAcentral describes it as "partial 16S ribosomal RNA". It matches the Rfam family "Bacterial small subunit ribosomal RNA", at positions 524 to 776 of the family's 1533-position model. The record is from RNAcentral.